This 253-nucleotide ribosomal RNA is filed under the name uncultured bacterium. Its description in RNAcentral is "partial 16S ribosomal RNA". It matches the Rfam family "Bacterial small subunit ribosomal RNA", at positions 524 to 776 of the family's 1533-position model. The record is from RNAcentral.
UACGUAGGGUGCGAGCGUUGUCCGGAAUUACUGGGCGUAAAGAGUUCGUAGGCGGUUUGUCGCGUCGUUCGUGAAAACUUGGGGCUCAACCCCAAGCCUGCGGUCGAUACGGGCAGGCUCGAGUUCGGUAGGGGAGACUGGAAUUCCUGGUGUAGCGGUGAAAUGCGCAGAUAUCAGGAGGAACACCGGUGGCGAAGGCGGGUCUCUGGGUAGUAACUGACGCUGAGGAACGAAAGCGUGGGUAGCGAACAGG